CCGCCCGGCUCCCAGGCUGGCCGGCCGGGCGGAAUGGAGAGCGCUCGGCACCCAGCUCCGCCGCGGUGGCGACCGCCGCUUGCUCUGUGACGUUAGCAGCCUUCGCGGCUAUUUAUAUCCGCACGAUUGGAUUUCAUUCAUGAAACCCGGGCCUGGUGUGUCUGUGCGCUAGGGUGCGGGUUGCAAAGGAGCUGACCGGCCGCGGACUCCAAGGGAGGACAUUGGCUUUUGUUUCAAAACGGAGCCCAGCUGCUGACUAAGAGCUGCGUUAGCCCAGCCUCCUCCUCCCCUGGGCGUUGCACGUGCUGCCCGGCUCGACUCUGGGUUACCUUCCUCUGUGACUUGGCUCGUGGGGUCCCUGCAAGGGACGUAAGGACGCACCGGCUGCCCCCGACCCGAGCUGUGAGCUCUGAGGACGGACCAGAGGCAGUUUUCAUGCAUGCACAUAAAAGAUGUCUGUUUCCUACAGAAUGUCAGGUAAUCUGUGAAGCUCUAAGAAGGUGACAAUGAACGCAACCAACCCGGUGCUGGUCCCCAAGGCACUUUCUUUUCAGCCAGCUAUUAAAAUUAGUAUGUUUUACACCAUCUCAUUCCCAUCCUCGCAAUUAGGGGCAAAGCUUUUUCCGGACAAAUUAUGGUGGUUUUAAUCUGGAUUUCCCUAAUGACUAAUGAUACUGAAGAACUGACUCAUUGAAAAAGACCCUGAAGCUGGGAAAGACUGAAGGCAGGAGGAGAGGGGACGAUAGAGGAUGAGAUGGUUGGAUGGCAUCACGGACUCGAUGGACAUGAGUUUGAGCAAGCUCCGGGAGUUGGUGGUGGACAGGGAGGCCUGGCGUGCUGCAGUCCAUGGGGUCGCAAACAGUAGGAUAGGACUGAGCGACUGAACUGAAUGAUACUGAACCUCCUCUCAUGUGCCAUUAUAUCUUUUUUGCG
Long non-coding RNA from Bos taurus (domestic cattle), 933 nucleotides. The record is from Ensembl. NCBI's taxonomy places the organism in Eukaryota, Metazoa, Chordata, Mammalia, Artiodactyla, Bovidae.